This 21-nucleotide non-coding RNA is filed under the name Caenorhabditis elegans. Lineage: Eukaryota; Metazoa; Nematoda; Chromadorea; Rhabditida; Rhabditidae. The record is from RNAcentral.
UUCAGUUGCCUUGUAAAAUAA